AUAACCGGCGAUGUCCGAAUGGGGAAACCCAGUGUGAUUCGUCACACUAUCGUUAACUGAAUACAUAGGUUAACGAGGCGAACCGGGGGAACUGAAACAUCUAAGUACCCCGAGGAAAAGAAAUCAACCGAGAUUCCCCCAGUAGCGGCGAGCGAACGGGGAGCAGCCCAGAGUCUGAAUCAGCUUGUGUGUUAGUGGAACGGUCUGGAAAGUCCGACGGUACAGGGUGAUAGUCCCGUACACCAAAAUGCACAGGCUGUGAACUCGAAGAGUAGGGCGGGACACGUGGUAUCCUGUCUGAAUAUGGGGGGACCAUCCUCCAAGGCUAAAUACUCCUGACUGACCGAUAGUGAACCAGUACCGUGAGGGAAAGGCGAAAAGAACCCCGGCGAGGGGAGUGAAAAAGAACCUGAAACCGUGUACGUACAAGCAGUGGGAGCACCUUCGGGUGUGACUGCGUACCUUUUGUAUAAUGGGUCAGCGACUUAUAUUCUGUAGCAAGGUUAACCGUAUAGGGGAGCCGCAGGGAAACCGAGUCUUAACUGGGCGUUAAGUUGCAGGGUAUAGACCCGAAACCCGGUGAUCUAGCCAUGGGCAGGUUGAAGGUUGGGUAACACUAACUGGAGGACCGAACCGACUAAUGUUGAAAAAUUAGCGGAUGACUUGUGGCUGGGGGUGAAAGGCCAAUCAAACCGGGAGAUAGCUGGUUCUCCCCGAAAGCUAUUUAGGUAGCGCCUCGUGAACUCAUCUUCGGGGGUAGAGCACUGUUUCGGCUAGGGGGUCAUCCCGACUUACCAACCCGAUGCAAACUACGAAUACCGAAGAAUGUUAUCACGGGAGACACACGGCGGGUGCUAACGUCCGUCGUGAAGAGGGAAACAACCCAGACCGCCAGCUAAGGUCCCAAAGUCAUGGUUAAGUGGGAAACGAUGUGGGAAGGCACAGACAGCCAGGAUGUUGGCUUAGAAGCAGCCAUCAUUUAAAGAAAGCGUAAUAGCUCACUGGUCGAGUCGGCCUGCGCGGAAGAUGUAACGGGGCUAAACCAUGCACCGAAGCUGCGGCAGCGACACUAUGUGUUGUUGGGUAGGGGAGCGUUCUGUAAGCCUGCGAAGGUGUGCUGUGAGGCAUGCUGGAGGUAUCAGAAGUGCGAAUGCUGACAUAAGUAACGAUAAAGCGGGUGAAAAGCCCGCUCGCCGGAAGACCAAGGGUUCCUGUCCAACGUUAAUCGGGGCAGGGUGAGUCGACCCCUAAGGCGAGGCCGAAAGGCGUAGUCGAUGGGAAACAGGUUAAUAUUCCUGUACUUGGUGUUACUGCGAAGGGGGGACGGAGAAGGCUAUGUUAGCCGGGCGACGGUUGUCCCGGUUUAAGCAUGUAGGCUGGUUGUCCAGGCAAAUCCGGAUAAUCAAGGCUGAGGUGUGAUGACGAGGCACUACGGUGCUGAAGUAACAAAUGCCCUGCUUCCAGGAAAAGCCUCUAAGCAUCAGGUAACAUCAAAUCGUACCCCAAACCGACACAGGUGGUCAGGUAGAGAAUACCAAGGCGCUUGAGAGAACUCGGGUGAAGGAACUAGGCAAAAUGGUGCCGUAACUUCGGGAGAAGGCACGCUGGUGUGUAGGUGAAGUCCCUGCGGAUGGAGCUGAGACCAGUCGAAGAUACCAGCUGGCUGCAACUGUUUAUUAAAAACACAGCACUGUGCAAACACGAAAGUGGACGUAUACGGUGUGACGCCUGCCCGGUGCCGGAAGGUUAAUUGAUGGGGUUAUCCGUAAGGAGAAGCUCUUGAUCGAAGCCCCGGUAAACGGCGGCCGUAACUAUAACGGUCCUAAGGUAGCGAAAUUCCUUGUCGGGUAAGUUCCGACCUGCACGAAUGGCGUAAUGAUGGCCAGGCUGUCUCCACCCGAGACUCAGUGAAAUUGAACUCGCUGUGAAGAUGCAGUGUACCCGCGGCAAGACGGAAAGACCCCGUGAACCUUUACUAUAGCUUGACACUGAACAUUGAGCCUUGAUGUGUAGGAUAGGUGGGAGGCUUUGAAGCGUGGACGCCAGUCUGCGUGGAGCCAACCUUGAAAUACCACCCUUUAAUGUUUGAUGUUCUAACGUUGGCCCCUUACCGGGGUUGCGGACAGUGUCUGGUGGGUAGUUUGACUGGGGCGGUCUCCUCCCAAAGCGUAACGGAGGAGCACGAAGGUUAGCUAAUCCUGGUCGGACAUCAGGAGGUUAGUGCAAUGGCAUAAGCUAGCUUGACUGCGAGCGUGACGGCGCGAGCAGGUGCGAAAGCAGGUCAUAGUGAUCCGGUGGUUCUGAAUGGAAGGGCCAUCGCUCAACGGAUAAAAGGUACUCCGGGGAUAACAGGCUGAUACCGCCCAAGAGUUCAUAUCGACGGCGGUGUUUGGCACCUCGAUGUCGGCUCAUCACAUCCUGGGGCUGAAGUAGGUCCCAAGGGUAUGGCUGUUCGCCAUUUAAAGUGGUACGCGAGCUGGGUUUAGAACGUCGUGAGACAGUUCGGUCCCUAUCUGCCGUGGGCGCUGGAGAAUUGAGGGGGGCUGCUCCUAGUACGAGAGGACCGGAGUGGACGCAUCACUGGUGUUCGGGUUGUCAUGCCAAUGGCACUGCCCGGUAGCUAAAUGCGGAAGAGAUAAGUGCUGAAAGCAUCUAAGCACGAAACUUGCCCCGAGAUGAGUUCU
This 2684-nucleotide ribosomal RNA is filed under the name Klebsiella pneumoniae. Its description in RNAcentral is "bacterial LSU rRNA". It matches the Rfam family "Bacterial large subunit ribosomal RNA". The record is from RNAcentral. Lineage: Bacteria; Pseudomonadati; Pseudomonadota; Gammaproteobacteria; Enterobacterales; Enterobacteriaceae.